RNAcentral lists this ribosomal RNA (254 nucleotides) under uncultured bacterium. RNAcentral's name for it is "partial 16S ribosomal RNA". It matches the Rfam family "Bacterial small subunit ribosomal RNA", at positions 524 to 776 of the family's 1533-position model. The record is from RNAcentral.
UACGGGGGGGGCAAGCGUUGUUCGGAAUUACUGGGCGUAAAGGGCGCGUAGGCGGCGCUGUAAGUCACUUGUGAAAUCUCCGGGCUUAACUCGGAACGGUCAAGUGAUACUGCAGUGCUAGAGUGCGGAAGGGGCAAUCGGAAUUCUUGGUGUAGCGGUGAAAUGCGUAGAUAUCAAGAGGAACACCUGAGGUGAAGACGGGUUGCUGGGCCGACACUGACGCUGACAGCGCGAAAGCCAGGGGAGCAAACGGG